UACGUAGGGUGCAAGCGUUGUCCGGAAUUAUUGGGCAUAAAGAGCUCGUAGGCGGUUUGUCGCGUCUGCUGUGAAAACGCGAGGCUCAACCUCGCGCCUGCAGUGGGUACGGGCAGACUAGAGUGCGGUAGGGGAGAUUGGAAUUCCUGGUGUAGCGGUGGAAUGCGCAGAUAUCAGGAGGAACACCGGUGGCGAAGGCGGGUCUCUGGGCCGAUAUUGACGCUGAGGAGCGAAAGCGUGGGGAGCGAACAGG
This 253-nucleotide ribosomal RNA is filed under the name uncultured bacterium. RNAcentral's name for it is "partial 16S ribosomal RNA". It matches the Rfam family "Bacterial small subunit ribosomal RNA", at positions 524 to 776 of the family's 1533-position model. The record is from RNAcentral.